UUGGUGAAUGAGACUGGGAAAGGA
Molecule: unclassified non-coding RNA, 24 nt
Filed under: Mus musculus (house mouse)
Lineage: Eukaryota; Metazoa; Chordata; Mammalia; Rodentia; Muridae
Description: oocyte_clustered_small_RNA7123
Source: RNAcentral